Molecule: transfer RNA, 72 nt
Filed under: Ovis aries (sheep)
Lineage: Eukaryota; Metazoa; Chordata; Mammalia; Artiodactyla; Bovidae
Rfam family: tRNA
About the family: Transfer RNA (tRNA) molecules are approximately 80 nucleotides in length. Their secondary structure includes four short double-helical elements and three loops (D, anti-codon, and T loops).
Source: Rfam by way of RNAcentral
UCUCCGGUGGCUCAGAUGGUAAAGCAUCUGCCUACAAUGUGGGAGACCCGGGUUUGAUCCCUGGUUUGGGAA